AUGGAGUUGGUGCGGUCCACCUUGCUCACUAAGCAUGGAAAGUCUGAAGGUCAUAAUCCACUCCAUUCUGCUCUAUGGUUUGCCAGAGAAGCAAUCACUGGCCUCUUACCUGGAUGGUCUCCAAAAGGUCUAAACCAGUCCUUUGAUAGGCACCAGGGAGAAAAACAGAUGUGAUCUCAGCUUUCAACAAUUAAGAAAUCAUCCAAGUAAGUGUAAAAUUACAAAUGAUGGAAAUAUUCAUCCCCUUUCCCCAAUUCUUUUUGGUCCCAUUAUUCAAACCUC
RNAcentral lists this long non-coding RNA (282 nucleotides) under Canis lupus familiaris (dog). Its description in RNAcentral is "lncRNA (ENSCAFG00845018758.1)". The record is from RNAcentral. Lineage: Eukaryota; Metazoa; Chordata; Mammalia; Carnivora; Canidae.